UCGAGGGGCAGCAUGGUGGUAGCCUGCUACCACCGAUGGCGACCGGCGCACGGGUGAGUAACACGUAUCCAACCUGCCGUCAGCUUGGGGAUAGCCCUCUGAAAGGAGGAUUAAUACCCGAUGUGGUUGUGUUCCUGCAUGGGGAUGCAAUUAAAGAUUCAUCGGCUGUCGAUGGGGAUGCGUCUGAUUAGCUUGUUGGCGGGGUAACGGCCCACCAAGGCACCGAUCAGUAGGGGUUCUGAGAGGAAGGUCCCCCACAUAGGAACUGAGACACGGUCCUAACUCCUACGGGAGGCAGCAGUGAGGAAUAUUGGUCAAUGGACGUAAGUCUGAACCAGCCAAGUAGCGUGAAGGAUGACUGCCCUACGGGUUGUAAACUUCUUUUAUGGGAGAAUAAAGUGAGGUACGCGUACCUUAUUGUACGUAUCCUAUGAAUAAGCAUCGGCUAAUUCCGUGCCAGCAGCCGCGGUAAUACGGAAGAUGCGAGCGUUAUCCGGA
This 498-nucleotide ribosomal RNA is filed under the name uncultured rumen bacterium. RNAcentral describes it as "bacterial SSU rRNA". It matches the Rfam family "Bacterial small subunit ribosomal RNA", at positions 62 to 549 of the family's 1533-position model. The record is from RNAcentral.